AGUGAACGCUGGCGGUAGGCCUAACACAUGCAAGUCGAACGGCAGCACAGUAAGAGCUUGCUCUUACGGGUGGCGAGUGGCGGACGGGUGAGGAAUACAUCGGAAUCUACUUUUUCGUGGGGGAUAACGUAGGGAAACUUACGCUAAUACCGCAUACGACCUACGGGUGAAAGCAGGAGAUCUUCGGACCUUGCGCGAUUGAAUGAGCCGAUGUCGGAUUAGCUAGUUGGCGGGGUAAAGGCCCACCAAGGCGACGAUCCGUAGCUGGUCUGAGAGGAUGAUCAGCCACACUGGAACUGAGACACGGUCCAGACUCCUACGGGAGGCAGCAGUGGGGAAUAUUGGACAAUGGGCGUAAGCCUGAUCCAGCCAUACCGCGUGGGUGAAGAAGGCCUUCGGGUUGUAAAGCCCUUUUGUUGGGAAAGAAAAGCAGCAGGUUAAUACCCCGCUGUUCUGACGGUACCCAAAGAAUAAGCACCGGCUAACUUCGUG
This 492-nucleotide ribosomal RNA is filed under the name uncultured bacterium. RNAcentral describes it as "partial 16S ribosomal RNA". It matches the Rfam family "Bacterial small subunit ribosomal RNA", at positions 29 to 507 of the family's 1533-position model. The record is from RNAcentral.